GAAACAAAAGAGAACAAAUCAUACACAACAUUCUGACUAUUCCAGUAAUUCCAGUGAAAACAAACCUUAAUGCCACACACACAAUGACAUUCUAGAGAACUUGUCGUUCCAACUGCGAAUGAAUCACACAAUGUAACUGGAUCUUCUCCAAAUUGGCUCAGAAAUAUCCAGAGGUAUUUCCUUCGUAUGCUGUUACCCACGCUAUUUCGCAGAGACUUAAAGAUAAAAGCUUUGAUAAGUCAGAAGGUGAGUGGAAAUUUUAUUGGAAUAAAACGUUCCUCUCUAAUUCAGAUUUUGGUGAAAUGACGUGUUCAAACUCUGAUGGUUUAGACAUCGCCAUCAAGAAACGAGAUUAACAUUUUAUGGAGCUUGAUAAAUUGUCUCUGUCACGCGAGCAACUUAUUUUUGAACAGAGGAAAGAUGAGAAAAUGUAAUCCCUCUUUGAAGCUGUUGUUCCUGUUGUGCAACUUGAGUGUGUAUCGCAAGGAUACUUUGUUGAAGAUGGUGUGCUGGUGGGGAAGUGGAGACCAUCAAAUGCUGCUGCUGAUGAAUGGCAGAUUGUUAAACAGGCUCUAGAUCAGCUACACAUCCAACACUGCAUGUCAAGUUGUUACCAUCCAGAAAGCGCAUUUUGUCUGGAGUUCAAGAAAGACUGGGAUGAAGGAGUGCCUAUGGUCAUGUUUGCAGUGAGGGAAGUAGUACAGGAAUUGUUAGGUUUCAGUCCGGCCGAGUUAGUGUUCGGUCAUACUGUUAUUGGCCCAGUAAAGCUGAUUAAAAUGUUCUUGAAUAUGUUUCAGAGUUCCGUUUGAAACUGCACCGUGCAUGUAUGUUAGCCAAAGAAAAUUUGAAGAUGUCACAACACCGAAUGAAAACACGUUUUGAUCGUUAUGCUAUUUUCUCCUGGUGAUAAAGUGCUGUUGCCAGUACCUGGAUCUGCACUGCAGGCUCGUUAUCAUGGUCCUUACCAGGUGAAUGAGAAGAUAAGUUCUGUGAACGGCUAAAACCAAGGUCAACAUGAAAGGGAAGUUCCCCCUUUGACUGCAGAGAACUUUGUUUUCUUUUAGUUAACGACCACAUCACCAUCUUGUGCGACGCUCUGAAGUUAAUGUUUGCUUCUUACUACUGCUUGAACAUUUCAUACCCAGGAAACCAAGAAGAAAUGCAAGAGAUUGUGCAAAGAUUCCUUUUUAAGAUGAACCCCGAGAAGGGAUCGAAAGUGGAGAAGACCACAUCGAGAAAGAAAUCAGCAGUCAGUCCAAAGGUUCUUUCAUUGAUUAACAAGAUUGCGGACUAUGAAAGGAUGGAGUAAAUCUAGGAAGAUCUGAGUGUCAGAUCUUCUUACAUUGCCCAGCAGAAAUUCUUGACAGUGUCAUAGACUUAAAAUACUUGCUAAAAUACUUUCAUGCAUCAUCUGUUGUCGAGAUGAAUUAAUAUAUUCAAAGGUGGUUCAGUUUUAAGAACAAUUUAAUUAUUAUUUUUUUAUUUGUUUACCAAGCUGCGAUAUUGUUGCAGUUUUGAAAAAUUAUUUUGUUUUCUAAUUUAAGAGAAAGUAUACUCUGCCAUCUUGCUAAGACGAAAGUGACUUGAACGCACAUGCCGUCGUAAGCACGACUUCCCACCUCGUGUGUACGAACUUCACAGGAGGACUUGAACGCACCAUUCGUCAUUCUGUUCAAAUGCUAUUGACGUUAGAGAAGUGUAUAGUAGUUUAGUAUGUAACUUUAGAGACGGUGCCUAGAUUUGCGAAUAUCGAAUGUCCAACGUCAAGCUAAAUUUAUGCCAGUUACAAACUGGCGAAAAGUCGUAGCUUAAACACGGACACCAGUUAAACUGUAACACCAGCCAAAAAUAAAAUUCUGCUCACUGAACGUCGGCUUUUGCAUAUUUUAAUUGGUAAAGAAUCCGUAAAUUAAUCCCAAAUAAAAGAAUCCCUAGCUUGAUAUUAUUCCUGAAGGUGAACUGCCGAUCAUCCGAUUUUACAUGCGUCCAACUCACUACAAUGGUUUAAAUGUCGAGUUUAGUAUAAUCGCAAUGCGAAUAGACAAAAAACACUAUACAAUAAUAAGACAUGAUAAACUUAAAAAAGCUUACAACUG
Long non-coding RNA from Carassius auratus (goldfish), 2096 nucleotides. RefSeq lists it as uncharacterized. Lineage: Eukaryota; Metazoa; Chordata; Actinopteri; Cypriniformes; Cyprinidae. The record is from RefSeq and is a predicted model, not a curated record. The transcript is spliced from 5 exons.